CGAAGGCUCUACUUUAUAGAAACAAUAUUAGCUCCGAUUCAAUUAUUCCUACUUCUGUCCAAUAGGUUUGCACUUUUACCCAAGCAACAUCUGAUGAUAAAUGGUUAUACAAUAAGUUAGAUUGAUAAGUUUAAUGAAUUUAUAUAUAUAUAUUGUAUAGGGUUAUUUAUAUUUUAUAUAGAAACAGCCAACGAUUUAAAUUUGAUCAAAACCAAUUUUUAGAAAACUGGACCAAAUCAGUUGGUUUGACCAAAUCAGCUGAUUGAGGCUUGGAUCCCUUUCUUUGAUGGAUUUUUUUAUCAGGCAAAAUGGGCCAUCAAAACUUGAGUGAACAUGGGCUAGGGCUUGGGCCGCUUCAUCACGCAUGUUUGAUUAUGUUACGUGCGAAUGGGCAACAUAAAGCUAUGGCUUGGUCUGCCACAUGAUGGCAGGGAAGACUGAAAAAAAUUCAUACUACAUGAGGGUUUGGAAUAUUGACCUUAAAUUCAACAUGUAAGGACGACACCACAAUGUUGACACUUUAUGCACAUAUAUAAACAAUAAUAAAUUUAACAAGCUUUGUUUCAAAAAUUUUAUAAUAAUAAAAAUAUAAAUAGUAUAAAUAAAUAAUAGAAUAUAUAAAUUUUAAGAUAUAUAUAUAUAUAUAUAUAUAUUAU
Molecule: long non-coding RNA, 656 nt
Filed under: Vitis vinifera (wine grape)
Lineage: Eukaryota; Viridiplantae; Streptophyta; Magnoliopsida; Vitales; Vitaceae
Description: long non-coding RNA (VVIN_LNC007383)
Source: RNAcentral